AGUGAACGCUGGCGGUAGGCCUAACACAUGCAAGUCGAACGGCCACACAGUAAGAGCUUGCUCUUACGGGUUGCGAGUCGCGUGCGGGUGUGCCAUACAUCGGAAUCUACUUUUUCGUGGGGGAUAACGAAGGCAGACUUACGCUAAUACCGCAUACGACAUCCGGGUGAAAGCAGGCGAGCUUCGGACUUUGCGCGAUUGAAUGAGCCGAUGUCGGAUUAGCUAGUUGGCGGGGUAAUGGCACAGCAAGGCGACGGACGGUAGCGGGUCUGAGCGGGUGAUCAGCCAGACUGGAAGUGAGAAUGGGUCCAGACACCGACGGUAGGAAGCAGUGGGGAAUAUUGGACGAUGGGCGAAAGCCUGAUCCAGGAAUACCGCGUGGGUGAAGAAGGCCUUCGGGUGGGAGAGCGCUGUUGUUGGGAAAGAAAAGCAGCAGGUUAAUACGCCGCGGUACUGACGGUACCCAAAGAAUAAGCCCCGGCUAACUUCGUG
Molecule: ribosomal RNA, 492 nt
Filed under: uncultured bacterium
Lineage: Bacteria
Description: partial 16S ribosomal RNA
Rfam family: Bacterial small subunit ribosomal RNA
Source: RNAcentral